GUGACCGUAGUUCAGUUGGUAGAGCACCGGAUUGUGAUUCCGGUUGUCGUGGGUUCGAGCCCCAUCGGUCACCCCA
RNAcentral lists this transfer RNA (76 nucleotides) under Methylococcus sp. EFPC2. Its description in RNAcentral is "tRNA-His". It matches the Rfam family "tRNA". Rfam says of the family: Transfer RNA (tRNA) molecules are approximately 80 nucleotides in length. Their secondary structure includes four short double-helical elements and three loops (D, anti-codon, and T loops). Lineage: Bacteria; Pseudomonadati; Pseudomonadota; Gammaproteobacteria; Methylococcales; Methylococcaceae. The record is from RNAcentral.